AGCUUUGCACAGUGGCAGUAUCGUAGCCAAUGAGGUUUAUCUGAGACACGAUUAUUGCUAAUUGAAAAGGUGCCUUACAGCCGAACAAGUUGUGGUAUAUGAAUGUAAUGGAAUACUAUUGUUCUAUAAGAAAUAAU
This is a small nuclear RNA of Dromiciops gliroides (monito del monte), 137 nucleotides long. RefSeq annotates it as U4 spliceosomal RNA. The record is from RefSeq and is a predicted model, not a curated record. Lineage: Eukaryota; Metazoa; Chordata; Mammalia; Microbiotheria; Microbiotheriidae. The transcript has a single exon.